This 411-nucleotide ribosomal RNA is filed under the name Clostridioides difficile. Its description in RNAcentral is "bacterial SSU rRNA". It matches the Rfam family "Bacterial small subunit ribosomal RNA", at positions 62 to 500 of the family's 1533-position model. Lineage: Bacteria; Bacillati; Bacillota; Clostridia; Peptostreptococcales; Peptostreptococcaceae. The record is from RNAcentral.
UUGAGCGAUUUACUUCGGUAAAGAGCGGCGGACGGGUGAGUAACGCGUGGGUAACCUACCCUGUACACACGGAUAACAUACCGAAAGGUAUGCUAAUACGGGAUAAUAUAUUUGAGAGGCAUCUCUUGAAUAUCAAAGGUGAGCCAGUACAGGAUGGACCCGCGUCUGAUUAGCUAGUUGGUAAGGUAACGGCUUACCAAGGCGACGAUCAGUAGCCGACCUGAGAGGGUGAUCGGCCACAUUGGAACUGAGACACGGUCCAAACUCCUACGGGAGGCAGCAGUGGGGAAUAUUGCACAAUGGGCGAAAGCCUGAUGCAGCAACGCCGCGUGAGUGAUGAAGGCCUUCGGGUCGUAAAACUCUGUCCUCAAGGAAGAUAAUGACGGUACUUGAGGAGGAAGCCCCGGCUAA